UUGCAAUAGGGAUAGUAAUGAAAAUCCUUUUUAUAAAUUUUUUGUGAAACAAUAAUCUGGGAAAAUUUAUAAAAAGAUUGUAAUGGAUAGCCCGGCUUUUU
Molecule: small RNA, 101 nt
Filed under: Cloacibacterium normanense
Lineage: Bacteria; Pseudomonadati; Bacteroidota; Flavobacteriia; Flavobacteriales; Weeksellaceae
Description: Flavo-1 RNA
Rfam family: Flavo-1 RNA
Source: Rfam by way of RNAcentral